Molecule: RNA transcript, 5241 nt
Organism: Capsella rubella
Lineage: Eukaryota; Viridiplantae; Streptophyta; Magnoliopsida; Brassicales; Brassicaceae
Exons: 7
Source: RefSeq, a predicted model, not a curated record
GUGUUGUGUUGUGUCUUGUGUGGCCCUUGUCAAGUUUCGCAUCUCUAUCUCUCUCUCUCUCUUAUUUGCUUCUCUCAUAUACAACUCUCUACUUUUUAUUUUCCUGGAAACUGCAUCAUCAUCAUCAUCAUCAUCAUCAUCAUCAUCCAUCACUCUUCCUUCCUUCCUUCUUUUGCUAGAUUCUUUCUCUCUCCCAAUACGCUUCAAAUCUGGACUUCUUCUGUCGGUGGAUUUGCUUACCUUUCGCUUCUUUGAUUACUCUUCCCUCUCUCUCUCUGGUGUGUUAGGUGGAGUUUAGCCUGAAAAAGGUAGUUCAAGUGAAAGUUUGGAUAUUUAUUACCACCCUCGACUAUGUCUGGAAACCAAGAGCCUCGGAUCCGACCACCUACUUGGAGUUGCAGUGAUGUUCCUAUCAAGAAGAGGAAGUACUUAGUGCAGCCGCAACUUCCGGAGAUGGAAGAAGCCGUCUCAACACAUUUUACACAACCUAACGAGCAAGGUGAUGCUCCUUUACUACCAUCUGUUUCUGUUGGAAAUUCUGGUAAAGGGAAGACCAUUGGGAACAUUGUUUUUGAUCAAAGUAGAGUGAAAGUUGAGAGGCCAAAUUCUCCAAUUCGCUCCAGUCCUUUGGUGGCAAGCUCUGAUAUCCCUUCCAACAGUUCUAACAAAAUACUUGGCAGUUCACUCCAGUGUUCUCUGGGAACGCUUCCUGCACAUCCUGCUGCUGUUGUUUCUUCAGUUCAAACUGGCACGAAAGCAGAAAAAACUGUUCUUAAGACUCAUGACAAUGUCAGGGAGACUAGUGACAAGGCUACUCUCAGAGGAGAGCUUCAAACAGAAGCAUUCCAUACUGUAUCCUUACGGCUAGGUUGUAACACUAAAAACAGUUCUCCGUCUUGGGAGAAUGAAGAGCGUACAGCACUGAAUUUGUCAUUAAGCAAGGGAGUCUGUGCCCCUCAUAACACAGAUUCUAUUUCUAUUUGUACCAAGUCUGGUUCUCAAAGUGGUGUGAACAGAUCAAACUGGGAUUUGAAUACUACCAUGGAUGCUUGGGAAGAUUCUCUAGAUCGCUCGACUAGAGUUAAGACAACUGGUGCUUUCUUAAACAGUAAUAGAAGCCUUCGUGGUAUAGAGACAUCAAGUUGUCGUGAUAAGAUUGUUAUUGCAAAGUCUGUUUCUGAAAAACAGAAAGAAAGUGUUGGAUUUAUAUCUCCUACAGUGACUUCAAUGAAGUCUGAUCAUCAAGUUAAUUCUACAUGUUCACUUAGUCUAGGCCUCAGUUCAUACCCUCCUCUUGAAAAAUUACCUUCUGUACCAGCUACCAUAUCAGAGGCAAGAGCUGCUUGCACAAGUUCUUCCAGACCAACAAUGACUGCUGUAAAUGUGAACUCGGUAAACAUUAGGACUGUGAAGUCAGAAAUCAUCGAAGAGAUUGUUAGGCAGGAAACUAAGAGUGCUCAAGUUUGCCCAAUCGGGAUAUCUAAUAAAGGGGUGAAACAGGAGGUUGUUGGUAGAUUCAGUCAAGGAAAUAGUCCCUCAUCUGGCAUUUUGAAGCCAGUGGUUCCUAUAUCAAUUAAGGCUGAGCCAAAUACCUUCACUCAGUCGGAAGUUUUCAAAAGGAAAGAUGGACCAUUGAAUCAUCCUCAGACACCAAAACUGCAAUCAUAUGGGGUCUCUGAUUUACCUACAAGUUCUACGCCAUAUCAGAAGGAUAAAUAUUUACCUAGUUCUAACGGUAUCAGCAAUGCACCAAUGUCCUUGAAGGAAAUGACAAUAACACCAGCCGUUCAGAGUUAUCCUGACUGUACAUUAAAAGAAAAUUCAGGCCAGAAUAGCGGUGCAGCUAAUAGUAAAUUAUGCGAAGUGCUGAGACAUGGCGAAGUUCACACGACCAGUUCAUGUUCUGGUCAGGUAGAUCAUAACCUCAAUGAGUCAGGUGUAAAUGUUACAUCCUUGACUGAAGAGAAAUUUCUAGAUGAUUGCAAGACCAGUAUAUCAAAAGAACUCCCUCGUAAUUCUCGUGGAACUGAUGAACUUUCUAUAAGUGAUGAAGAAAAGAUUAUUUCAUCUGGUAAGGAGCGAGAGAAACAGUUAUACAGUUAUGGGGUUGAAACAGGUUGUGGUCAUAAUCUAUCUAGCUUAAUAAAUAAGCAAGUUGGAAAUAGAAAUUUGUACGAUGACGGGAAGGUCCCAGGACCAGCUGCCGUUUUCAGGGAAGGAAAUGAGGUUGCACAUGCUGAGUGUGGUGGUUCUGAAAUUGAACACAGGAAUGUUAAUGUUCCAUACCAUGGCGACUUUCCGAAUUCUAUGUAUAUGGAAGAAAACGGGAGUCAACCUGCAGUUCCUGGUAAUACAGUUGAAAUGCCAAGCACUGAAGAUCAUAUCAAGAGGCAUACUCCAGAACGUCAAAGUAGAAUAUGUGAUGGAUCAGGUGAAAAUGAAGGCCGGAUAGUUCAGGAUGCUGAAGGAAUGUCUGGUGUCUCUACAGUGUCAGGCGGGAUUGAAUAUCCUGAAAUAGUAGAUAACAGUAGUCCAGUUUCAUACAAGGCAGAUUUUUCUACUGUUGACAACGAUCUUCCUGCUGAAUGCAGUGACGGUAGUCAGAGUCGAAUUAUAAGCUUAGCUCAGGUUUCUGACAAAUCUCCAAAUAAGGCACUGGAUGCUUCAGGCAGCUUUGUGUCAGUCCGAAUGGAAAGAGAUAGAUUUCCUAAUUUCCCAAUUGAACCGCGGAAAUAUAUUAUGAGAGGGAGUGAUGAAUUCUGCAAAUACCCUCGUGAGAGGUACCAUGGGAAGAUUAUGAGAGGCCCAAGGUUAAAUUUCAUGCCUGACAGAAGGAGAUUACCUGAUAACACAGAAAGCAAUCUGCAUGACCAGGACACAAAAAAUUUUGAGUUUGAUAAUCAUGGAAACACUCGUCGGGGUAGUGUGUUUAUGAAUAAUUUUCAGAGAGGGAGACGGCCUGCAAAUGAUGAAGUAACACCUUAUCCUCACUCCUUUCCGAGAAGAACCUCUAACUUUUCAUAUAAUAGAGGACCAACGAAUAAAGAGGAUGCAUCUGCAUUUCACGGAUUUAGAGAUGGUGAAAAAUUCACAAGGGGAUUACAAAGCAACAACACAGAACCAAUGUUUAUGAAUCACCAACGACCUUAUCAAGGUCGGAAUGGUUGUUUUGCUCGAGGACAAAAAAAGUUUUCUAACAAUCCCAAACGAGGUUUUCCUGGAUUUCGUUCACGGUCUCCAGGUAGAUCAAGAGAACGAUCAGAUGGUCCAUCCUCGUCUUUCAGGAAUAGAUCACAGGAAGAAUUCAGUGGGCAUACAGACUUUUCUCAUCGGAGGUCACCCUCAGGUUAUAAAAUGGAGAGGAUGAGCUCACCUGACCAUUCUGGUUAUUCAAGGGAAAGAGUUGUUAGAAGACACAAUUCUCCACCUUUCUCACAUAGACCAUCAAAUGCUGGAAGGGGACGGGGUUAUGCGAGGGGCCGAGGUUAUGCAAGGGGUCGAGGUUAUGGAAGAGAUGGCAACUCAUUUAGGAAACCAUCUGAUCGUGUUGUAUACAGAAACCAUGGAAACUUUAACAACUUGGAUCCUCGAGAAAGGGUCGUUUACAGUGAUGAUUUCUUUGAAGGUUCAAUUCAUUCUGAACGAUAUGGCAUUGAUGUUAAUGCUGAGAGAAGACGGUUUGGUUAUAGACAUGAUGGUACGAGCUCUUUUAGACCAUCUUUUAACAAUGAUGGUUGUGCGCCUAGUAAUGUAGAGAAUGACCCUGAUGCUGUGAGGUUCGGACAGGACCCUGAUAUUAAAAAUGAAGAACCAGGGAGUUUAAUGGAAACUGAUGGGGAAAAUAAUAACUCAACUGAGAAUGCAUCUGAAAGAACUAUGAAUAUGGAAGAGGAGGAAACUUCAAAGCAGAGUAAAAUUUGGCAACGGGAUGAGCUCGGUGGUGAUGGUUUUUAGAAUAAAGGUUAGUAUUCAAUUUACUUGAACCUGUAAGACCAGGAAGGUAUAAGUGAUGGUGAAUCAGGUAUCAAACGGAAGUUCUAUGAUUUUGCCACGUCCGAGACCAGUUAGUGGCUGAUUAUUGUGGACAUUCCAAUCACUGUUGCAAAGAGACAAACUGCUCUAUCGUCCUUUAAAGUUUCAAAAUUGGCCAUUGCUUGGCUGUGUAUAUACAGCACUUCUGUUGCCUUUCUUUCUGCGAUUCAUAUUCCGGCCUCUCUUCUGCUCUGUAUCACUGUCCAUGUUGAAGUUGCAAUGGGUAUACAACCUAAGGAAGAUGGUGUAAAUACCAUGUGGGAAUUUUCAAGGCUUCUCCACGCACAGUAAUCCUCAGCUGGCUUAGGUAGAAUGUCACUGUUCCAACAGAUAUGAAUUACUAGUGUGUUAGAAGAGACACUUUUCUCUUGUUAUACAGGGGUAGAGACUUUUCACCUAUUUAGGCAGGAGAGACCUGCAGGUUUUGGUCUUGGUGAACAAGUCUCUUUGCCGAAGCAUCAGAGUGUUCUACUCGAAAUUGGACUUGCUAGAACGAUAACAACCCCAAUACAUGGUUGAUCUAUAACUGUUAUUGGUUUAGAACAUUCACUUUUAUCUGCUGAGAAGCGGAUGAUGGGUUCCUCCAAUCUGCCUUUAGGCAUGCCCUAGAUGAUUUAUAGGUAUCUUGGUGGUAUUUGAAGUGCUAGCUAGCUACACCAAGCUUGCUUGAAAUGUUGAACAGCCACUUAGCAGUUGAUAUAGACAAAAGGAGUGUGCGAAACAAGGGUUAGUAAGUUGAAUAUUAUUGUGUUGGCCAAUAAUGUACAGUUGGUAGAACUGGAUUCACUUGCCAUGGACUAGAGCAAACUGGAAACGGCCAAAGUGUAGGCAUGUGAAAGGUUCAUGGCACGGAGUUUUACCAGGUUUAAUCAGUAGAUGUUGUUGAUGAGGGUUUGAAGUGUUUUGAACUGGAAGAGGAAUCCAUAAUUUUUGAUUGGGGAAUGUGUGUGGGUGUUGGCUUUAGUUCAUGAAUCUAUGUUUUAUAGAGGCUGCUGAUAUUGUAAGAGUGACGAGGCUAUAGCUACCAAUCCAUCAACAUACAAGUCAGGAUAUUUUACAGAAGUGUAAAAGGUGCCUUUGUACUGAGUAUUGUGAAUACAAAAGAGUUGUAUGUUUUAGUUGUGAAAUUUGUGCGCUCAUUAAACCAAACAUGCCAUAUAUUCUCAUGUCUCCUCCACAAAGUAAAAAAUAUCAAAGUUUGUUUUGUGA